Molecule: long non-coding RNA, 1011 nt
Organism: Hibiscus syriacus
Lineage: Eukaryota; Viridiplantae; Streptophyta; Magnoliopsida; Malvales; Malvaceae
Exons: 11
Source: RefSeq, a predicted model, not a curated record
CCAAAUAUGUGUCACUGAUUUGGUUUAUCCAUUGAUGACUACAGAGUUCUUAAUGCUAACAAUCUAACAGGAGAGUUACCAAAGGCUCUCACCAAUUUGACCAAGUUACAGAAUUUAGGAUUGGCAGCAACAACUUCACUGGAAGGAUACCUGAUAUUUUCCAAAAUUGGACGCAACUUCAAAAGUUAGAGGUCCAAGCCAGUGGCUUUGAGGGUCCAAUUCCUCCCAGCAUCUCUUCCUUGACAAACUUAAUCGAACUAAGAAUUAGCGACCUGAAUGGAGGAGUUUCGCGGUUUCCAUCUUUAAGAAACAUGAAAAGCCUACAAAAAUUGAUGUUGAGGGACUGCAACAUAUCUGGACAAAUACCUGAUUAUUAUCAGAACUGCCACUAAGAAUCAUUGAUCUCAGUUUCAACAGAUUAGUGGAAAUUGGUAGAGGUUUUACGAUUUCUCAACCGGAAAAAAUGUAUCUGACAAACAACUCGCUCAGUGGUCCGAUUCCCGAUUAGAUCAAGAACUUAAAUAGUUGCAGUGCGAUAGAUCUUUCUUACAAUAAUUUUUCUGAGGACUACGUGCAAUCCAGUUGUCGGGAAACAUUAAACUUGUUCAAAAGCUCUACUGAUGGAAAGAACUUACCACUCAAUGAAUGUCUGCAGAGUUAUCCGUGUUCGAAAGAUCAUUAUUCUUUAUACAUAAACUGUGGUGGGGAGAAAACUACUGUAGGAAAUAUUGAUUAUGAAGCCGAUCUCGACCAAGGUGGUGAAGCAAAAUAUGUUCCGACUGGAUCAAAUUGGGAAGUCAGCAGCACAGGACAUUUCUGGGAUACGAAUAUUAGCUAUAGAGACUAUAUAGCACAUAAUGUAUCUGUGCUCAGGAUAAAUGAAUCAGCGUUAUACACGACAGCACGCCUUUCUCCCCUUUCGCUCAUUACAUUCGCUGCUUAGGAAAUGGAAACUAUACUGUUAAACUUCACUUUGCAGAAAUAGUGAUAAGAGACAAUCGUUCUUUCCAC